AGUUCCUAAUGCCUAUACAUAAUUUCAGUGGCCUGGUGAAGGAAGUUUCACAAUGUGUAAAGGAAACUCCUUCAGAAACUUUGAUCACUUGGAUUUACCGUUUUCUCCUUCCUUUAAUUCCUCAGUUCCACCUGUGCUCUCACAUCUAAACAAUAAGCAAACAGGCAAGAGACUGGAAAGCUGUUUUGGAAGAAAAAGGUUUGGCUCUAGUCUUCAUUUGAGCAUAAAGUGAUUUUUUUUUUUUCUUAAGGAUUCAAAAAUAUUGCUUGGGGUUUAGUUCAUUUCAAUGCCGUAGUACUAUGUAUUGCCUAACUCUCUAUGGGUGAUAAACCUCACGGUAGAAAUAAUAAAGUCACCAGAACUGUUAAGAAAAUCUAUUCGAGUGGCAGAGCUUGACAGAGCCCACAGAGAUAGGUAAGAAUGAGCAGGCCAUGGGAGGUGUGGGUUGUCCCCACACAGUUCUACAGAACAUUGACACUGAAGUGUACAGGUGACAAGUUAAGUGUUAGCUUUGUGAAUUGCUUCACUUCUGAUUACAUUAACAGGAAUAUCUAAUUGUUCUUAGACUUGAAGCAGAACCUGGGGAUAACACCGCCUACUUUCUUCCCAACUUCGGCCUGAAGUUCCUGAAACAUCAUUCUGACAGUAUACCAAAAUAAGAACAGCAAGAAGUCUUACACAAGUACCCAGAGAACUCUUGCUGCAAGUCCAGUUAACAAAUAAAAAAGAGUCCAACAAACAGACAGCUAGAUAGAAGGAUUUGUCUGUCCCAUUACUUCACCAAAGAGAAUCUCCUCCAAAAUUCAAUCAACGACAUGGGAAGUUUGUCUGUGCCUUACAUGCUCCUGGUCACAGUCCUAACCAGCAUCUUAGCACAACCUCAUCUUCUCUGAUGGCUCCUUCUAGGUUACAAGACUAUGAAUUUAUCAGUAACAAAGCUGAUAACCAUAAGCACAGGAAGAGUAUCCACAUCUAUAACGUUCAAUACACCUAUGUCUGCCAAAGUCUACACCUGUGGAUGCACUGAGAUGAUUCAGGUUAUCCUGCCUUCAGCAUUCUCCUCUGUUCCACUCAAGGUCUUGCAACAAAACAAGGGUGUGCAGACACAUCCAUCAGACCAUUAAGUAACUCAACCAAUAUUUAGUUCAUCUUUGAAACUGCUGAAGAAGUUUCCUUAUACUGGUGCUGUCCUUUCACCAAGAAGCAUGGUAUGAAAGUGACAAAAAUGGUUUUGUUUUCAACACAUUCAGUUCUGUGACUGCUGGUCUAAGAUGAAGAUAAAAUAAAUACAGAGAAUAAAAUGCAAAAAAAAGAGGAGCACAAACAAAAGGAUUAACUUCACAAGUGAGAAAAAUAAACAAAGGGAGGCUCAAGAUGCUCUUCAGCUCAAAUAUUUUUAAAAUAUAGUGAAUCUGUUUCUUAAAUAUCCUGAUUUUAUGUAGGAAGUUGGGGGUUGCAGGUAGUGAGCUUAUGCUUCAGGGGAAGAGGGAAUGUUACCCCUCCCAUUUGCAGUUUUCUUCAGUUCAUUAAAUGAAAGAAAUUGAUUUGGCGAAGCUAAUUUUGUAAUUAAAAAGCUUAUCAUGACUUUCUCUAAUGAGUUAAGCAAACAGACAGUAAUUCAGUGACAAUAUUUACACAGUGCACACUGGGGGACGUCUGUUUAGAAAAUUAAAUAAUAGAAGAAAAUGGAAGGAGGAGAGAUGGGAAAGUAAGCAAAGGAGAAGAGGUCAAUUCUAGACACAAGUUCAUUCCAUGAUGUUGGUCCUCUGACGACAUGUCCCUGUUCCCUUUGCCACACAGCAGUAAAAGGAAGAGAAGAAUGUAAAUGACCUAUGCUAUCUACCGUAUGUAAUCAAGCUUUUUUCACUCACUAAAUUUACUGUGCUCUCAUCUCCAACUGGGACUAUAGCCAACUCUCUGUUAAAGACUUCAGGGAACAGCUUUAUACACAUGCAAGGCCAAGAGCCACCUUCCCAGGAUGCAGUUCCUCCCUCUAAGGCACCAGAAACCACAUGCAUGCUGGCUGAGAGCAUGGAAGAAAACACAAGCUCUUGAGAAGUGAAAUGCUUGACCCUACUUGUUUCAAAAACCUUUGCUAUUGCAGUAGAGACGAUACUCGGGACAAAAACUAUCCCAUUUACACCUUCAGAAAACAAGUAAACAUCAUGAAGAAUCUGUCUUAUGCAAAGUUUUGUGUACUGCGGGGUUAAAAAGGAGAUGGGAAACCCAGAGUUUCCCCAAGGAUUUAUCUUCUCUUGGUCUAUAGCAUUAUGUGGACGUACACCGUUCUGGUUCUAGGGGAAAUCUUCCCAGAGGAGAAAGAGGAAAGUCUCUUCUCCUGUGCUUCUCUUGUCCUCCAGAGUAUGCUCUUCCACCAUCUCCUCCUGCCCCAUGUAGCCAUGUAUGAAAUGUCUGGUAGCUUAGGAGUGAAGAGGAAGUGAGCUCUGAAACAGUCCUUUUUAGUUUUCUGAGUUUUGCAUGCUUACAAGGCUACCCCAUGUAUGCUUUAAAUGAGAACUGGCUCAGAUACUAUAGCCAAAGGCAACAGUACAAAUCAAGAUAAAAAGAUGAGUCCUAAAAAACCUAAAAAAGUCCUAAAAAAGGGUGAGCAGAAGAUCAAUUAAAUACACAGUGCCACAGAGAUAGGAAAAUGCUAAUAAGAUAAAAAUUAAUAGUGGGAGUAAACUCACAAAGACCAGAGAGAAAGAACAGAAUCACAAUUUUGGUAGUCAGAAGAAAGGAACCUAUGGAUUGAAAAAAAUUCUAAAAUGCCAAUGCCUAGCUUUACUGGAGAGUGGGAAACAACUCAUAUUAAUGAACAAAAUAAAUCAGGAGAUUCCACUCUCCAACUUCCAAAUUCCCAGAGAUAAAGGAAAGCAAUAAUUUAUCUCUAUACAGCAGCUUAUCAGUAGUAUCAUCAAAAUGUGAUGGGGGAGAUAACAGUGAGACCUCCUUUCUUUAAGACUUACUCCAAAAUUUGACAACUUUCAUUUCUGAACUGAGUCCAACAGGAACCUGUGAUGCAAAUAAAUGGGUGGUAAUGAAUCUGCACCACUUGGUACUCUGACACCAAAAGCUGAAUUUCUGUGCUAAGUCCUGGUCUCUACCUCCCCUGUUCCUAACACCCUCUUAAUGACUAAUGCCAGCCAAACCCACUGAGUUAAUAGCUGACUUCAGUCACAUAAAAAGGCAUCUGCCACUUGCACAGUUACACAAAAGCCUUGAGCCCAAUCAAACCACAGACAUAUCAAAUGUACCUGAUUCUUCCCUACAGUGAUCAGUUUCCCCAUUUCUGCUGCCCUAAGAGGCAAUCUUUGCACAUCCCACUUUCUCACUGAUUUGUGAAAGUAUGGACAUCAUAAAAAAGCAUUGCAUUCUGAGACCACAGAGCAGGCUCUGAAAACAUGCAGGAGUUGGACUCCUAGUUGCAAGAGCUGGAUGGAACCUACUCAUACCCCCAGAAGCUCACUCCUAUAUGACAGCAUGUGCCAGAAGAUAAAAUUUCUGACAUAGACUGCACAGGCACAGGGCAAGGUGAGAAAGCUAAAAUCAGCAGUAAUAUCUGUGUGCACCUACAACAGAGUUCAGCAUCUUUAAUCCCUUGCCCUAGAAAGAAGACUUUAGUCACUUCUCUCUUACAUCUUCCUCUGACAGGAGGGCAUGAUCACACAGUCAUUAAUAGCAAACAUCCACACUGCCUAACAGUACUAAUUUGAUGCAGAUCAGGCAUCAGCCCACAGCUGCACUACUGUUAAAGAAAUAGAGCAUUUAGGCAAUCAUUGUGCAAGCUGGGGGUAAAUACACCUGAUCCAGAGAUAUCAGAGAUGUGCAAACAGUACAAGAUCCAGCACAAAGUCUACUGGUACACAAAAAAAAUCCUUUGAACAAAUCUGCAAGGGCAGAAUGAAAUUAUCAGUGCAACAUGGUCCUUUCCUCUGUUUUAUCUCAAAUGUCCAAAAGUUGGACAAAAUAUGUCACUGGAACAUUUUCAUUACAGAUGGCAGCAAGAGCCUCUCCAGGUACACAAGCACAGAAUGUGUUAAGAGAGACCCAGAAUUGUCCCCACUUGCUAUGACUCACUGCCAAACAUGUCUAGAGAUUUAAGGUUUGUGAAUUUCUGCGCUCCAGACUCAAUUCCACAAGCUAACAAGCAUCCCAUGAUUUAAAGGAAUUUUAGGGGUGCUCAGUUCAUAACACUGGAUAAUUGUUUGUCAAUGAACUGAGUAAUUGGUUGCCAAUGAGACUUCUCAGCAAAUACUUUUUGGGUUAUACUCUCCAGCAUACCUUCCUCUCCUCUCCUUUCUCUCUCCUCACCCAUUCUUACAGUGUUUUUGAGUCCAGGAGCAGUACCUUAAUGACAGCAAAGAUAGCCAAUGACAAUUUGCUGACAAGAAAGCAGAUGAGCUCAAGAAGUUGCCUAGUUCAGGCCUUCAGGCAGAGCUGUGCCACUUCGUUAGCUGGAAUGAUAACGCGAAACUCCCAGUGGUGUGCUGCAGUAAUAUGUAAUAAAUGCUACCUUUAUACGUAGCAGAAAAAUCCCUGCAGAUUAUACUGCUAGGUAACAAUUCUGCUUCGUACUUAAGUGAACAGCAUAAGUGAAAUUUGGCAGGGCUUUUCCAUCUCUUACCUCUGUAACCUAAUACUCUCAGCAAAAAAGCAACUACUAUUUCUUUAUUUUUUUCCCUAAACAAUUAGUAAUUGCUUUGCUUUGGGGAGCCGGUGCACAUCAGCCUGUAUGGCUGUUCCCGCAAGACGCAAUCGGAGCUGCUCCAGUAGGCAGCAUAGCUCACAUGCUUAGACUACGAAUACGAAGCAGAGGGUCUCCUUCAACUCCAUCACAGGCAGUCUUCGAGUUUAGGAAAAAAAAUGCACCAGACAUGUAGAACACCACUAUACUAUCUUGAAGGGUCUUUUUUUUUUUUUUUUUGAGUUAGAAGUUCACCCUGGAUUUCUUCUACUUGAAAAAACUGUACCUGAGUACUUGUUACACAGUGAAAAUUAUUAGGUAAUGACUUAAAGACCUGAAGGGCAAGCUGAAAAAAAGGAACAGUAGGAGAACUAUUGAGAACAGCAGAAGUGAAAAAAUGAUCCAUGCAUCUCCCACCUUCCUCACAGCUUAGUGUCUUUUUUUUCUUUUUUUUUUUUUUUUUAAAUUGUGGGAAGUGAGGCUGUCGUGAUGAGUCGAGAAUGAGGUGGCUGUGAGGUUUCUCCAAGGAGUCUUUAACUACCCUCUGGGUAUAUUAGUGCCUGCCUGCAACACAUGAAACACUUGAGCAUUAGCUUAGCUCUCUUUCUCCAGUUAAAAGCAUUAAAUUGCAGAUGCCAAGUGUUUUCUUCCCCUCAUUCUCUUUCAAAUUCCUGAAAGCUUAAGUAAUUUUGUCAUGACUCACAUUAUAAAAAAGAACAAGUGAUGUGACUGCUCCCACUUAUGCACAUGUACAAAACAAAUAUUCUCUGUCCGCUCUACCUUUACUUGCUGGUGACUGCAGCCCUAUCAUCAUAGCCAUCUGUUUAAGCAUUGAUGCCAAGUUCUGCUCCAUGAAGUACUCUAUUUUUUUUCCUUCGCAUUGUGGAAAACUCACCCUCUUGACACCUCAUCCCAGAUAAUCUUAUAACACUCCCACUAAAUUCAAUAGGCUCAAUUCACAGUAUUAAAUGAGAAGACUUUGGUAAUAUAGCAUGAGUAAAAAUCCUCUGCGCCCACAGAAAAUACCCAUUCUUGGAUCACAUAGAUUGGACACAAAUCAUGGUGCUAAAACACUGGAGAAACUGCAAGCAAGCAUCUCCCAGAGUUUUACCCACAAGCACUUAUUUCCCAGAACAUAGGACCGAUCUUACUAGACUUCUAAUGAACACCAUUCAUACACAAUUUGACUGCAGAAUUAUAUUUUCUGUCUUCAGCAAAUUGAUUAAUUGUGGAAACAAUUACAAUCAUUACUAUUCUGCAUUAAUAACAGACUGAGAUAACUAGUGGUGUUUUACAUCAGGUUCACAAGCCAAAGUCAUCUCAACUAAGAGAGUAGUUUGUUUUCCUCCAUACUGAAAGGAGUAUCAGCUUCUAGAAAACAAGUUCCCCAUCAACUUUCUUCUGGAAAACCAUCCUGCCCCUGCUCCUUUCAGCUCCGAGGUCAAGAAGCUAUCAUUUUUUCAGUCACAAAGGUAUCGAAUGCAUGAUCUGAAUUGAAAAUAAUUUUAUAAAUGCGUAUGGGAACACAUGUUAAUUUUCACUUGAGUUUACUUUUCAAAAGUUACAACAAAUAAUGGAAUUUAGCCAUGUAGUUUAGGUGCCAUAUUUGGGAUAAAUAAAGAACAAAAUUUUCCAAACUCACUAAAGCAAACACCUUGAACAGGUUUAUAAUUAGAAAAAAGUUCUUAAGUAAACCGCUUACAAACUGCAUCAUUUUUGCAACUCCUUAUGUGAUCUCUUCUUCUUGUGAAACAGCAAACCACUAUGAUCAGAACCCUUUGGAUAUAUACAGCACUUUUGAAACUAGGAAGCAAUGGAAAUUCAGAUUCCGGUGGCAAAUUUUCUGAGUGAUACCAACUCAUGUACGUUAAGAAUGAGCCUCUGAGCUUCUGAAUCCUUGCUAACAAAUUCAGAUAGCUUUAGAUCUGUUCCCAUUACCAGUGUGUAAACAGAAAGGAAACAGUACCAAAGGCAUCUACGUAGCUAUGUAUUUAUCAUAAUCAAAUUUCAAACUCCCAGUCUUUUUGAAGGAGAGGGAAAUGGUUCAAAACCUGUAGUAUAAUUUUGUAGCUCCACUGCCUUGCAAUACACACCUAGAUGCAGCUGGGGAGCUUUCUCCUACUGCAUACUACAAGGGUCUGAUACAUACAUGGAAACAUGCAACAGCACAACUCUGCCUUAUCACCCACUCUUCCUUAUGACUGAUAAAGGUUUUACGCUCUCUACUGCAGGCAUAAUUUCUGACACACUUCUGCAAAGCCUUUUAUCAUCGAUAGUAUGUAUAAAAUAUUAAAUAAUAAUGGCAAUAGCUAGAUAAAUAAUUCACUGAGAAUAAAAUCCAGUUCAAGAUUGGUCUUUUUUUUUUUUUCCCCUUCAUGGACUGAACCAGAUUUCUGUGAAUGGAUUUGUUAUUCAGAAACAAAUGCCAAAUAGUUCAUUUGAGCACAUUUCCGCCUCCAGAACAUUUGCAAACUACUUACUUCAAUUAUUCUCUAUUCACAGUCUGCAAGUGGUAGGAUGGUAUUGUUUCCAGUUCUUGACUAGAGGAAUAAAACUUUUUAAAUGGGUGGAGUGAUAAGUAGUAAAUGCUAAAUCACUGUUCAUAAAUAGCAUUCUAAGUUAGAUGGCUGCAUGAUUCCACACUCAUGUCAAAGUCCAUUAAACUCACAAAACAGAGAAAUGUUUUUACAAUUACUUACGGGAGAGGACACCACAUAUAGCAGCGGUCAUAUUCAACACUUUAACUUUAAAAGUAUUUACAAAUUACUUAUUGUAUUAAGCAGCAAAUUUUAAAAUCCAAGAGAGAGCUUUUUAAUUUCUCAGGCAGAGAUAGCAUACUAAAGAAUUCAUUAUUAUCUUUUAAAUGGAUAGAGCAUCCAAGAAAACUCAGUAAUUUUAAAGCAUCUUCAACACCUUUGCAAUUCGGUAACCAACGCCGCUUUCUUUUCCCAUUUUGCAUGCUAUAUACAUAUAUGAGCAGUCUCAUCUUCCUCUCAAAGCUGUGAUGCUAAGAAUUCCCUCCCUCACCAAUUUUUCUACUACCUUUUAACUAACCACUGCAAAGUUCUCUUUGAUCAGAGUGUGAGACAUAAUCAUAACCAUGAAAGGAGAUGGCCAAAAAUUUGUUGGUGUCAACCUUAAUAGCUAAAGGUUGGUUAUUCUAUCUCUGUGCCAGCAAAAGGAAAGAUGUACUAUAUAAUCUAGUGAGUGGAUAACAGCAUUAGGAUGUGGGUGAGCUCUAGUAUCACAGUGCUUGCAGAGUGACAUUUGGAUGGCUUGACUGAUGAGGUGCUUUUGUUAGGUUGAGCUUCAUAGGGUGUGGCUGUGUCAUGAUGUUGUCAGAGGGGACUUUGCCUUUUUUUAAGGCAAGGAAUAGUGAAGAAGCUGUUUAAGCUGUCAGAAGUCAGAAAUCAGACAGAUAUAGUAAGUACCACUCUAGCCAUCUAUAGUAACAGAAUCUGUUCCUUCCGAGUCCUCUUUACAUUUUUAUUUUGAACUUGCAGUAAUAAAUGUAAAAAAAACAAGAAAACACUAUAGUCAAUGUCAGAAGAAAUCAGCCAAAAGUCAAGACAGUGAAAGGCAAUAAACCUCCUAAGCUCCUGUGAGCCUAGCUAUUCUAUCCCCCUUGCUCCUCAAAUCCUUCCUCUUAUUUGCCAAUACAGACGCACCCCCUCAUUCCUGUCAUCAAUAUACAUUCUUAUUUUUAAAAAAAAAAAAAAAAAAAAAGGAUGAAGAGCUAACUGAAUUCCGGGCCUGAUGGAAUCAUUGAUUCAACGCAGACUUCAAAGGGAAUGUGCGAGGUGCUUAUACCUGAGUGACAUAUCAUUGCUUCUCCUGUGCUCAGCAUGCCCUGAUGAAUAAUCAUGGCAGCUUUUAAACAGACGCAAGGAAUGCCGAUCACAGUUUGUCUCUGAGUCAGCUGACAUUUUUUAUUUUAUAUAAUAAAGCAAAUGGGGGUGGGGGAUACAGACAGAGAGCAAGCGCCAGCCCUUUCAGAUCUCAUUUAGUCUAUACUACAAAGAAACUGAACUUCAUAAUCCUGGACACCAAUAAGGGGCACAUACCCCUCCCUCUGUUAAACUGAUAAAUCUUGACACAGUUUAGGGAAAGGACAAAGAAAACUUACAGUCUUUAAUGUGGAUAUCUGUGACUCUGUAUGUGUGAUGAGAUUAGAGGGAGGAAGCUAAAGGAUUUGCAAGGAGUCAGUGUGGGUGCACAUACAUACAUUUCCCUAGAUUAGGAGUUAUUCUAAUAUCUGACAGAAAUAACCUGGUAAUCACAUUGGAUGCAACUAGCGAGGACAAUAAACAAGCUUCCCUGUAAAAACUCUUCCAUAGUGCCUGUAAAGUUCUUAUCCAUGUGAUGGUCCUCCAAAAAAUGAUUUGGAUUUACGGACAGUGAUGGAGGGUGCAAUGCAGCCGGUUGACAAGGAGGAGAGCAGGGAAUGCCAGACCUGCUGGAAGGUGUAAUGUGCUACAACAGCUCCUUUGCACAUGAGGGUCAUCAGGAUCAUGCUCUUGGAAGCUAGGAGUCCCUGGCCUGGCUGGGUGUUUGAGGGCACAGUGACCACCAACGACCAACAAAUCCCUUUCAGAGAUUUUGCCAAGCAUAAUAUGAACUUGUGGAAGUUAUAAAUACUGGUUUUCCAUGAAGACUUCAAAGUCCUGAUACUACUGUUCCAUACAGAUUGCAUCAGCCUCCGUCCUCUUUCUAUCUUGUUAUUUCUGCUGUAUUUUUGAUACUGAUUUUAUUCAUAGUACAUCAGGUCAUUUUUCCUUGUUUUUGUUGAUGGAUAGCUGCAAUUCAAAAACUUGUUUCCUUCUAAUUGCAUUUUUAUCAGAAUAACUAUCGUGAGAGACACUGCAGAGCAGUCCAGUGGUUUCACACUUUUGCCCAAUACUGUUUGAGGGACAUUCCAUUAGAAUAAAUAUCUUCAUUCUGUUAGAGAAAAGGACUUCUCUAACUAAUCAACCUGUGCCAGACCCAACUUUCGUCAACACAAUAGCUGCCUACAGGAUGACUUGCAAUUUAGUACAUGAUUACCUAUUGCCAGCAAAUCCUCAGUCUUCACAGCCUAAGCAGUCUGUGCUGAGAAAUGUUAAAAAACAUCAACACAUAGAGGGGAGGAGGGUGUGGACUGAGGAAAGGAUAUGAGAGAAGAAGAGUAAUUUACUGAAGAGAAAAAAAAAUGAAAAGGUAAGAAAAAUGGAAGAAAUACAGAAGUGGAAAAACAAGACGAGGAAAAGCAAACGAAAAAGUUGGGAUAUGACUGAAGAAACACAAACCAGUCUCAGUGCUUCAUAGCUGCAGUUCGACAAACACGGCUCCAGUGCCACAAAACCGGCAGCCUGGGUAAUACACGCAUCCAGCUCCUGGCCGCCUUCUGUUCCAGUGUAGGUGAGGUGGCAACAGGUCUAUAAUAUGUUGCCUCCCAGUCCGCAUACCACUGGCAGAAACUGCACCCUUGAACUAUCCUGUCCUGCUGAAGCCAUUAUACAAUGUGUAACUUCAGGACUGUGAACUGCUGCUUGGUCUUGGAGUCGUGGCCUCUUCGUGCUUUACAGCUUGACAUGCCUGAUUGACAAGUUCCUUCUGCUCAGUUCUUGAUUUUUUUCCUCUCAGCUUUCCUUUUCUGCUGUACUCUAUUUGCAGACCUCAUCUGCAGUUACAUGUGUCUAUCACUGGAUCAUCUGAAACAACUCCUAAUUACUGUAAUUAUAUUAAAUGUCUUAAAAACACACACACAGAAAAAAACCCCACAAUCUCAGUAUUCUGAAAGGAAAACAAUUUUCACUAAUGUUGAACACAAAUUCCCUGUUCAGGAAGGAGAGCUCAACUCAGUUUUCCCUUGUAAUCUCUCUUUAGGAGAUCCCUUUAUUGCCCUGCAAAUAAAUUUCCCUCCUGUUAUCUUUACUUUAAACUGAACACAAACUUCAAAAUGAAUACAUGUAGUAUUCUCUUAAUUCACCUCCUCAUUUUACACAUCUUAGGCUCCUUAUUGUUUUCACAAUGAGAAAGAAGUCAGACUUGUGGACAGGCUGCGAAAUAAAAUAUUAUCCUUAAAAAUUCUGUUUCAUUGCAAAAAUCAUGGUCAUUUCUUGCUUUUUACUGUGUAAGGUUGACUUCUAGAAAGUCAUGAUCCUCAUCCAUACCUUCAUAAUAUGCAUGCACGCUGUCGCCUGAAACAAAAUCUUCAUUGACUGUGGUAGUAAUUCAGGCCUUUAAACAGAGCUGAUUGCAACAGGCUCUGUCAGGUUAGGGUCAUAGCAACAUACACAGCAGAAGGACUUUUCAAAACUCAUGCCAAACUUCUUCAGAGCCCCCCUCAUUCCAUGAAAUCAGAUCAUAAUAUGCUCAGGCAUGCUGCUUGAGAAAAUUCAAGGUAUCUCCCUACGUCCAUAUGAAAUGUAGAGACCACCCUCAUAUUAAGAUUUCAGCAUUUGUGAUCUCAGGAGAGUGCAUACCAGAAGAAAAAAAAAUCAUUUUGAUUAUAAAACUGUGCAUAAUUAAGGGAUCCCAGUUGUGCAGGUUUGUUGUUUGUUUGUUUUUUCUGUUAGUUGGGGUUUUUGUUUUGUUGUUGGUUUUUUAGUCAAAGCAUAGUUUAGUUCCUUUUUCUUCCUACCUAUACCAUAUAUUGCUAAAAAAUAUUUGCUCACUAGUUACACACUUGCACUUUCACACUACAACAGGAAUGAACAUGAGUUAAAAUGGGUGAACUGAUAAUUCAACUGAUUAUUUUUCCUCAUAUUAUCAAUUUAAAAAUUCCUUUGGAGGAAUGAUCUUACUGAUUGAAUAUUCUAUAAUUUGUUUAGACUUAGACUGAAUUAGAAUAUUGUCACUUCAUUCUUUUUAUUUUCUAUUUAUGGCCUAAGUGAGUUAAACAUAUCCCAGAAGCCCAAUGCCAUAUACGUUUGCCUGCAAAGCUGAGGCUGUGGCUGUUUUCCAACACAUUGAAAAUAAUUUUGUCUCUUUACUUGGCCUCUAGUUUACUCACUGCUCUCAAUAUACUGUAGAGUAGAUUGUAACUUCUAAACUUUGUGAUGUUUUCAAAGAUGACUUGGUAAGGUGUGCUCUCUAGAGCAGGCAAAAUCAAAUCAAAUUCACAAGCAGCAGAACAACUACUGCAAACAAAAAUCAUCCAGAUUUCUCACCUAAAAAUAUAAUAGGAGACAAGGGUGUGCAUACCCAUACACACAUUUUCAGGUGAUCUGCAAAACAGAGACUAUGUAGAGGAGGGCAUAUAUGUGUAUCUCUUUCCUAGUUCACUUUCACACUCCAAGCAAGACACACUCUUCCAAGCACAUGCAGGGCUCAAAGUCAUGGAUGAAACAGCUAUGCUUCCACUGUCACCUCUACAUACAGUGGGCCUUGCCAGCAUAAGUUCAAAUUCUUCAGCAUUGGUGUGCUUUGUUUUCUUCUUUUCUUUUUUUCAGCUGAAGCUCAUCGGUGUUUAAAGCACCAUAGAGCACUUAAAGUUUCACCCUAGUGACCAUCUCACAAAUUAGAUGGUAGAUGGAGAAACACCAGCACCAUGUCAAGCAGGAACCCCACAAAGAGCGCUCCCCUCAGCCACGUUACAAUAACAGGAGUUUCCCAUGACCUUCAAGAUUCCACUUCAGCUCCCUCCAGAGACUUAAGCAGCCUCUCUGCUAUUAAGAUGUGUCUUCAUUUGUCAACAGAAAAGCUGCUAAAUUGCCACCCUGAGCAAAUUUACAUAGAAAUUACCAAUGAUACUCUGCAAACAGUGAGGAGAAUUACAGCAGAGCCACCCAGCAGAAACACUUCAGCCUACAAAUAGUCACUGCUCAGACAAAGAGAAGGAAAAUGAUAAGAGGAAAAUACACUGGACUUGCAUUCAGCACUGUGAGAUCUGUUUAGGCUCUGAGUAUACUAGACCCACAAGAACUUUCCCAGGACACACAGCAGAUAUUGUUAAUGUUUUCUCUUUAUCUGCAAAAUAUUUCAAAGCUCCCUCAGCAUAUCUGUCCUAUACAGGUGCAUCCUUUAUAAACCCCCAGACAUCGCAACAGCCUGAAAGGUAGCAAAUUGCUCCCCCAUCCUAGCAAUGGAUGCCUGGCUUUUCUGUCUGGUACUCUGAACUUUCUCCUGCGCCUAGUGGAGAAGCCUUGUUGCCACCUCUACUGUCUCAAAGAGAUCGCUCUCUCCCAGGCACACAGCUCAGCCUCUCCACAUAUCCUGAGUCUCCCCAGAGCCCUUCCCGUUUCCACAUCCCUGGAUAUGACACCUACUAAAUGACAUACCCUACAGACAAUGUAAGGGCCUGAUUAGAGUGAAAUGUUCUUUUUUAAUUUUGUGAUCUCCUUUCUAGGGCUCUUGAUGUGAUUACAAGGGGUCUUCAUCAACAAAAUAGUAGAGAUAUGCAAUCUUAAAUUAAUUCUUCUGUCACACCCAAACUGCUGUAGCAUGUAGCCUCUGAAGCCUCAUAUGAGGGAUCAGGCAAUCACUGAUGAAAGACAAAGCUGCCACAAUUGCUAGCCUUGACCAGACACAGUUGGAACCCAGAGAAUUUAUUUCAAUGGGAUCACAAUUUCUGAGCUGCCCAUCCUUUGAUGGAGGAUGCCUUCUGUUACGCCUAAAAGUCUGAGCGCAGGGUCCUAGGCAUAUAAAUCUUCAGACAAAUGUCCUAGAGACUUAAAAGUGAUCAAGUCUGAGGAAAAAUAAUGGUUCUGGACCUUGUCUACCUAAUGGUAGACAAGUGGUCAUUACGACCAAUUCAGGAGACAAACCAAGGGAUAAAAAGAAGCAUAUUUGCAUUUCUUCAGGCAGCAGUAGAGACUGCUGGAUUGGCAUUAUGGAGAAAUAAAGAAGAAUCAAACAACAAUAAUCUGUAUGAAAAAUAGUUUCUCUGUACAGGUAUGGUUCAUAUAUGUAAGCACAUACAAGAGAGGAAAAAAAUCAGGUCAUGGGGUAUCUUAUACUUAUGCGAACCUAACACAAAAUGACUGUACAGAGAGGGAGAAAAAUCCCAUUUCAAAUAAUGAUCAAGGCCAUCACAGGGGAAUGAGCGGCUUCCACUUCUUAAAGCAAACAGCCAGCUAAUAUUUAUUCCAUAAUAUAGACAAAACUCUGCCUUCUGUCAAGGGGAAGGGAAUAAAUUGUUUUUCCAUAAUGGUGUUUUCUUUUCAAUCAAUUUCCCUUCAAGCUUGAUUUAAGAGGAUGCUAUGUCAGAACCUCAAGCAAAUGGAAGAAAUCUAAGACACUCCCCCAUCAAAGGGGAAAAUGAUGAUGCAGGCAAACUUGAAGAGCUCAGUCUAAACACCAGUACUGCAUAUCGGUGCAGUCACACACUCCUCUCCCUCCUUCUCUUCAAGUAAAAGGUUUGCAGCAACAGAGUCAGAAAUGAAGAUGAAAGAGUUCAAAGCACAAGUAGUAAUAGGAACAGAUAUGUUGGAGUGCUUAAGGACAGAGGUACAACAAACAGUGAAACCAUGCUUAUAGAUCAUUUUGCCACACACACACCUAUUUAUAUGCCGUGUUUGGAUAAAAAUAUAUUUAAAUCAAGAGCUCUAUAGAUAUUAUAACCUUAUUAUUAAUACAUGUGUAUGUAGGAAAGAAGAAGAGUUCUACUUGGUAAAACCCCUGGCUUCUAAGAAAAGCUGUAGGGAAGGAGAAGGAGCAAGAAGGCUGCUCUCAUGGCUUUACAGGCACUUAGCUACUUGCGGAGUGAAGGCCAUCAGGGAACACCCUAAGCUCCAAAAAACUUCAGCCUUGUUAAAAACUGUAUGUAGUUUCUAGGGUUACAGACAGUUCCUUGCAUUGGAAAAAUCACAGUAGUUUCUAUUUCAGAAUGAAAUAGAUGUUGCAGAAGCUUUGCCAUCUACUUCUUUUAAAUGCAAAUUGCUGGAAAGACUGCUUCCAGGAGGAAGAGAAUUUAAAAAAAAAAGUAUGAUUUUUAAAUCUCAGAAAGAUUUUGACAAUUUGACCCACAUUUAGUAUGAGCAUUCAGAACAGUUCUGAUAGCAUCUGAACCAAAACACUCAGUCUCAAAAUAUCAGUAAGAUUUUACCAGAUGCGGAUCUGAAAGAGAGAGGACCCUUUAUUUUCUCUCUCCAAGUUCAUCCAAGGAUAUAGCUCCCACUUAAAUAAAUCAGCUUCUCAAAAGUCAUGGGAUUCUUAGUGUCACACUUGAGGGAGGGGAUUGGAGUUUAAAUGUACUUCCAUCCUAUUUUCUUCAUUUGGAUUGUUGCUGUCUUAAGAUAGGAGAACUUUUGACUGUUUGAGCACAAUGAUUUCCUCAUGGCAGUACAGUAAAUAAAGAGCUAGUAAAUGAUUUGGGUGUUCAGUGGACUUUGCAAGCAAGAUUCUUAACGUUACUUAAGCAAAAGCUAAUGAACACUUACAACGACAUUCCCAUUUCCUAGCUCUAAUUCUCUCAUCACUUAUCCACAGACACAAGAUGCCUGCAACAAGCAUUAGUAUCACAUCCAUUCAAAACUAGAAGCACAAAGGUUGACCAGAAUCACAGCUGCUGACUACUCUGGAGAAAGAAGGGGGCUCUGAGGGUAUGCUGAACUAACAUCCAGCAUCUCCAGAGGACUAGCAAUGAGAACCUGUUCAUGGUGCCAACUGCUUAUGCCCGCACAUGCAUAUCUGUAUGUGUCCCUGAACAAAGAGAGCUUAACAGGAAUCUUUUCAUGGUUUUCUCCACAAAUAUAGGCCAAGAUUUUCAAAAAUAGAUGUCCAAAGUUAGGCAUUCCAAAAUCCAUAUUUAAGCUUCUACAGAAAUGGCCUCAUUCUCAGAAGUGCUGAAAUUGCCAAGAGCUGUAAGAUGUUCAAAACUUGAAAAUCAGGCCACAUCUUUAGGCUCUUGAAUCUGUUUUCAAGCACCUAAGUUUAGGCAUCUAAAUACUUGACUCUAAAAUAUUAUUACCCACACAUGACCUAUUAUAACCCAUCACAAAUAUAUGACAUUCUCAAAAGUGUAUUGUACUAAUUGCUCCACAUUUUCAGGUGCAGCUGAAAAGUGUACUGUCCAGCUCAGCAAAGGAUAACAAAAGCAGCUACUGCUCUUCUUGACCAACUUCCAGGUGGUUUCUAUGGCAGAAAACUACUAAGACUGACAAAAGGGGCCACCAAACCAUUGUGGCCGCUGUCCCAGCCCAUAUUCCCUUUCUCUAUUCUCAGUCUCUAGACCAUCAGGAGAAAGAAUGGAAUCAAUGCAAGGCUGCACUAGUCAAAUUAAAUAAGAGCUUUUUCAAUAACAAACUAAUCAUCCAAGUCCACUUAUUUCAUUGUCUGAAUCUGUGCAACAGAAGGGAAAUGGGCUCUAUACUUUACCAAUGCCAAUCAUGUUCACUAAGCAUGUGAACAAGGUAUGCCUGUUUUCAUUAAUGUUACCACAUAGGAUUCAGUAGUCUUCUGAAUCUCACGUUGGAACCUUCAUCUUAGGGAAGGUUAAAUAGCAGUUGGGUAUGCUGGAGUUCCAGCAGGGCAACUGUUUCUCCCUGUGUUCGAUAUGGUAGAAGCAGAAUAAAAGUAUAUCCCAAUAUUUGAAGAGAAAAACAUAUUAAGGAAAGGUUCAUCACUGAAACAGCAAAUAUAUAGAAGAUUAUUAUUUUUAUUGCAUUGAUAAAACGUCUUUGUUUCCUCUGGAUGCCAGACUGUGGCAUUAUCUCCAUGAUGUAUUCUAACAAAAUUCUUUGUAUGAAAUGAGGUCUUCAGAGUAAUUUCUCCAUAAUUCAGCAGCAUUUUUACAUAAUUGCUGCAUCCGGGAGCUUCAGUGCUUAUGAACUAGAGAAGACAACAUAUUCCACAUGGUGCACCUGUACACAACUAUACUAUCCCACACAGCUGAAACCACUCUCUGAUGAGUAGGCAAACUAGAAGCACAGAAAAUUAUCUUGAAUGUGAGGUCAUUCAUCAUAUCUGACAACAUCUUACUAAAACAGCAAUGAAGGCACUCAUAUCUUUAUAGCUUCUUUCACCCAAAUGGUUCCUCAUGCUUUCCCACUGUUUAGCUUUUUAAUGUAUGCUGUCUGUAUGACUACAAAGGGUCAAAUUCUCAGAUGUCCUGAAACAGUGGUAUUCCAUUAAAAAAACAACAAGCUGUCAUUACUUUAAACAAAUAAGAAUCUGAUCACAAAUUCCUUUGCUUAGCUAUAAAUUAUAACUGCUAUGGUACAGGUACAACCACUGUUUAAUGGCACAAAACAUCAUCAUCCAAGACUUUAUAGCAGGAAAUAAAGAAAAACAUCUCUUUACAAAGACACAGCAAGGGUAAAUUACCAAAAAAAGUAAAUCCAAACUGGCCAAGACAUUUAAAUAUAUUGUUUCAACACUAUCUCUAGGAGAACAAAACACCUACUAGAUCACCCACAAUCAUGAGCAUAAUUCAGCUUAACCCUCAAUAUAAUAUUUGGGUAUGACUCCUACCUACCAGGCAUAAUAGCCCUAUGGGGACUUUUGUUACUCCCUCUAGCCCACCAACUCUAUUUGGCGAAGCCCCAUUCCUCUGGGAACUACUCCCUUAAACCAUUAAUAUUUUCAACAGUACUAUCUCUGUUGUAAACAUAUGCCUACAUCAUUCUUGAAUACAAAGCAGAGAUUGCUUACUCACUGUCUUCCAAGAUGCUGAAGAGCUUCCGAGAGGCUAAAAUUAUUUGUUCAAGCACAGGACUGGUUAUAUGGCUUCCAGACCACACUGUUUACUCACUAACAUGGCCAGCAUUCCAAAUAUUUGUUCGCCAGCUGACAACCAUGCAAAUUUACCCUUAGGUCAUGUGAGCCAAAAAUAUUCCAGUGCAAAGGUGGUAUCACUGAGCUCUUUAUAGAAAAAAGUCUUUUUCAUCUGCUACAUAGCCCAAUGACUCAUGAACUAGAAAUAAAUUCCCAAAGUAUAAUACAUGGGAAUUUAAUGGAGCUCUAAUCUCUUUUUUUUUUGUCCAGAAAGUUUCCCCUUCACAUAUGUUGCAACAGAUCUCUUUUUCCAGCAUAUUGGAAGGAUCCUGCCAAGGAAUGUCUGAAUGAGAUGAAGGUGGUGUUUUAGACAGAAAAAUAAGACAGGUCAAGGCAGGGCAUUCAUGUGAAAUGUCUGCCAAAGCAUUACCAACAACAGAAGAGUUAGAAAGAAGGAAAGAAAAGUGUGAUACUGGAAACUGAUAGUCUGAUAAGAGACGGACAGGAAUCACAGGAAGCACUUAUGCGGAAAUGAAAGGAAGAAAGAAUUGUGCAGAGCCCUGGUUGACAAGUAAUAUGAUUUGAGUAUGAAAUGUAAAACAAUUGGCUGCUGAGAAUAAAAAAAAUGGGAAGAAAGCAUGAUGGGCACAAAAAGGUUGCUAUCUCAACAGCCACUCAAAUGAACUGCACUCAAGGAAAUCCAGAGGAAGAUGGUCAAAGCAGUCAGUGCAAGAGAAAGCAAAAGUAUGAUCAAAGCUUUUAGCUGGAAGUCAGGAAAGCCUACCACUAGCUCUGCUACCAGUAUUACUGGCUGUGCCAGAACAAGAACUGGGCAAGUCACAACAGGGGCCCAGUUGCCUUCUCCUUCCUCUGAGAUGAGCCUCAGAUCAGCAGAGGGCCAAAGAAGGAAAACAUACAUAGCUACAGACUCUGCUGAAGGUGUUCUAUCCAUAACUGAUAAAGGAUUCAUAUUUUAUGGCUUGCAAUGUUGAAAGAAAAAGCAGUUUAGCAGUUCUGCAUGGCAGAAGUUCCCGUGAUGUAGCUAUUCACACAGCAAUGCCAGCCCCAGGUACUUCAGAGUAAGUGUUUAUACUCAAAAAUCUGAACUCAAUCUUGAAGGCUUCCUCUCAGGAAAAAAAAAAAAAAAAGAAAAAGAAAAAGGAAAGAAAGAGGAAAGAGAGGAAAAACAUUUCACUUAAAAUUGCAUAAGAACUGCAAGAAAAGACUGUCAGAAGCAGUAGGUGUAAUUGGGGACUACAGAAAACCAUUAGGGAUGAAGGCUCAAGAUUCCUCUGCCAUAUAUACUUCAAUCUUUAUAUCGUAAUAUACAAAAUAUUUUUCUCACUAGGAAAUGCUUUUUCUGGUCCCUAAGUACUACAUCAUCAACCUUGUGUUUACAAAGCUAAUUUUCACCUUUCAUUAGCUCUUACCAUUUGCCCUGUGCUGCUGCAGGUAUCGUCAGCUGCUAGGAGAGCCAGGGACUUGCAGCAGUCUCAGUCACAGUGGAUUUAUGCUCUUCACUACAACCCCGUUAUCCUGAUAAACACUCUACCCUUCCUACUGCACUUCAGAGUGCUGACUCUCUCUUCACAGAGAAAAAGAGCUACAGUAAAGAAGAGAUACAUAUCAUUUGCUCCAUUAGUCAGUAACUGCAUUAUUAAAAAAGACACUUCUUCGAAUAUAAAUUCCAUCAAAUGCCAACAAAUGCACAGACAAUUGUUACGGAUCAAAGCUAGUGAAUACUGAAAACAAGUUGAGCUUUGAGUGGAAUAUGGUUCACUAGUGUUCAAAUCUGCCUCAUGGCUUAUGCUACAGUGAAAGUGCAUUUUAUGAUAAAUAGACAGGAGAAGAGAAGGAUGAACAGACAUUUAGCUGUUUGUUGCAUUACCAAGAAUGUGCUGCUUUGGAGUUACUAGUAACAGAUGCUUCAGUACAAGAAUACUUUCAGUAGGUAGUUACUGAGUAUCUGGCCUAUAUAUAUUUCCUCCUUACUUGAUGACUUGCUUUUAUUUUAAAAUAUUGAAGUUCAUAUUUCUUAAAAGGUUUUCUAACCAAGUUUCAUUUUUGAGAGAUUGCUUAAUACUUACAUGUUGUAUUCCAGACAAAAACUCUAAAGCAAGAUUUUUAACCUCCACAACACCGCGUAGCAGUAGGUUCCAGAAGCUGAUCAUGUACAGGAAAACAGAUUUCCUUACAUUUCAACAUGCCAUUUCUUUGGGAUCUCCUGGAAAUAUGCAACAAUUUGCUCUAGCACUCUGCUAGACAACAUACUGUCUCCUUGCAUUUAGGAAAGAUGCACAAUUACUAAAAUACAGUAUAUCUUAAGAAGUUAAAAGAAAAUAAAUCUACCAGCUCUCAAAAGAAACUCAGAGCAUGUUGCAGAAUGAAGCCAGUGCUGUGAUUUUAGUAUUCAAUUAGAGAGAGAGAUGUUCAAUAACAAAGUGUGUUUUACUCCAAAUUAACAUCACUUAGGUUACUGAAAGCACUCCAAGCUCCAUAACUUAUUUUUCAGGUAGGGAGCACUAUUAAAAAUCUGCUUGCCUUCUUUAACUUAAUCCCAUCUUAAAGGGCUAAAGAUAAAACUUGUAGAAGAGUUUUCAUUGUUGGGUUUCUCAGCUCUCUAAUUAGGUACUGCAGUCCAUAAAACAUACGCCACAGAAAAGCAGCAGAAGAACUGGCAGAUUGAGGCAGAUUGAAAAUGUCUUAAUCCUUCUGACCUUUACCAUAAUUUUCCUUCUCCAGCAGAAUACACAGCUGACCUUUUCUACCCACUGACAGCACAGCUUAUGGCAGAUUUCCAUUAACCAAAGCACUAUAAGUUCACAGCAGCUACUGCUGGUAAUCCAGCUCAGUUCAGCAAGGAUAUUAUAAAGCACAACUCACUCAAACCUUGACUGUUGAUUGAUAACAGCUCCAGAAAUUCACAAUGGCUAUGCUUGCAUACCUGCUGUCUUUCCAGAUGUGCACAGAGGCAAAGUGCCUGCAAGACAGCUAAAUGUUACAGAUGCACCCAGCAGAAAGAGGACUGAAGCGCGUGCAGGUGCAUCAAGCGUGUUCAUCUAAAUCAUCAGUUGCACUGAGCUGAGGGAUGUUUGGCUACCUACCCAACACACGGGAGAGCAUCCCCUGACAUGACACUGGGAAAGUCACUAGACCCCUAUGGCUCCACUCUUCAUCUAUGAAAUAGGGGAGGAUUGCAUCUCCUUACUUCAGAGUGUUAUGAAACCCUUGAAGACAGUGAAUCAUUUUCAGCUACUCUUGUAACAGGGUCCAGAUGGAGAUAUUUGCAGAAUAUUUUAGGUGCACAGUUUAUCAUUUAAAUAUGGAAGGAAAACAAAAUAUGGUGGGAUAUGGUAUAAAGGUUUUAUUGAAAUGAGUUGGAUAUGGGUAUUAUUCAUGACUAGAAAAACCCAGAGUGAAUCAUGAAGGUCAUAUCAACUGACUACCAGCAAAAUCUUUAUACCCAACGGUACCAUCCUGGUCUCUGUAAAUUUCUCGCUUUUAUUGAAAAAACCAAACAUUUGUGAUAAUUUCAUAUCUUUUCCACAUCUUUUUAAAUUGAAUCUAUUUUUAUAGCUCCAGCUGUAAAGCCAGACUCACUUAGUAACCAUGUGUCCAACUACAAAGCUCGCUGAGGGAGUGAAAACAAAAAAAUAAAGUAAUAUUUUCAUUCCAAAAAUAACCUGAGCUCUUCAGCUUGCUUUCUCUCCCUCUCUUUUCUUUCUCUCUUUUUUUUUUUUUAAAUUAGAUUCAAUAUAGAAGCCUAAAGCCAAGAUUCCUUUGAGUACUUAUCAUAUGUCUUGCCAGAGAGCACCAGAAACUGAGCAGUUGGAUGUUUCAGAUCCAUGUAACUAUAACAUACCUCUAUGGUCAGCAAAGAAAAAGAAGCUGGGGUCUCCUACGGAAUCAAAGGCUGUAAAACACUGUGAUUCCUACCAAAUAUUGAAAGCUCUAUUGGACAGUACUAAGCAGGAAUAGACACCAAGGAAAUCUAUGAUUAUCUUUGACUAGUUUAAGACAACAGUUUCAAACCUGAAUAUGAAUUUUCUGGAUGAAUGUAAUAAACGUAAUUAAAAAGCUACAAAUAUGAGAUGCCUAUGAAUGAGAGAAAAAAGCAGAAAGAUCAAACUAUAAGCAGGAAAAUUUGUAAUGAAGAGCAUGGAAAUCUUCCAGAAGGUGAGAAGAUGCUAUGGUAUUAUUAUUUAUUCCUUGUAAUGUUUGUGAUAGAACCUUAACAUUGGAUCACAAAAGUCUCAUGUCUCAGAGGAUAAGAAUUUCAUUACUGAAGACACUUAAAAUUAAAACACAGAAGAAUGGAGAAAGCUAUUGAAAAAAAACCUGCCGUGACCCCACCAACAUGCAGAGUAACAUAAAUUAUCUGAAUAUAUUACCAAAAUUUGAAGCAUCACUUAAUCUUCAAGAAGCACCUGUUCUGGAUUCUUCACUCUUUCGACUUCUCAUAUCUGAACUACCUUCUCAGCAACACAACAGUGAGAUGCUACCUCAGCCCAUCUCUCCACAAUCAUCUUGAAAACCCAUUUCUGGAUUUGUCACAAUCAAUUAUCUUGUCUUCUGGCUGAAACCUUGGGCACUCUGGGCUCACUCUGCAUUAUGGGGAGAAAGUCCUUUACAGUGUCCACCAUUGACAGUAAUUCUCAUUUGGAAGGAAGGAUCAGUGGGAAAGAAUUCAUCUUAACACCCCCAUUGGAGGUGACAGAUUAUCAGUUUGAGCACUCCGUUCUUUUCCCUAAUCUGUUACUGAUAAUGCUCAGCAUGACUCAAAUGUCUGUCCCUGGGAGGAGUCUUAAAAUAAAGCAAAGCUGCAACUGUGAGAAGUUGGACAAAUUCAUUUUUUUUCUUUUUCCUGGAAUAUUUAGUUACAGCUGACAGAAGUUUGCAAACAUCUCCCACUUACUCAGCAGUUUGGAUGUGCACUGAAGUCGUGCUCUUAUAUUGAAACCAAGAAAAAAGAUUAAUAAUCUUUCUCUGGUUUUGCAUCAAAUGCAAACUUUACUUCUCACAAAGCUGUAACAACUGCAUCUUUCCUCAUACAAGGGGCUCAGAAUACAGACAUCAGGUAACAAUCAAGCUGAGAUUUUCCAUGCUGAAAUACAGAGAAGAGAGCAAACAUAAGCUCUGAUACUUUACCAUCCUGUUCUGCAGGAAGAGGCUUAAGAAGCAGCUGAUUAGUCCUGCUUUCUCCACCAUGUUCAAAAGGGUUUGUUUGCAUGUGUGAGCAAAAAGAGAGAAAAUGGGAAGGAAAGGUUCCAUUUAGGGAAGGACCUGUAAAUAGAAGUUUUCAGCAAUACAGCAUAUCACCAAAUACCUUGUUGUUUCCUCUGCCAUUAUGAAGAGCAAUACUUUGUAUGCCAUUACUUACCAAAUUCACUUUGUAGGAUUUGCUACACACAGACAUUCCUCUGCCAUUUUAUGGCAUGGAAAAUUUGGGGUUCUCUCUCUGCUGGGCUAAUUAGGUCAGAGAAUUCUAUUUCACCCCAGUAUCUCUAGCAAAUGCUCACAAGUGUAGACAUUAAAAAAAAUAGGGGGCAAUCACUACUUAGAACAAGCUAAGCAUUAAAAAUGGAGUUCUUUUUUUUACCAAAUUUGUUUUAAAAGCAUUAGUUAGAAACCAGUCAGCUGCUUGUUUGGCAUUCAGAUCCAAAGCCAAGCACCAAUCUCUCUUUCAAUUUACAUUAUUCUUGAGAACAGAAACAAUAAGCAAGCUGGGGCUUAAUGAGCCUGCAUGUGGGGUCAGUCUGCUGGAACAAAGCAGGAUGAUCAUUUUCGGAGCUAUCCCAGUUUGAAACAGUAACUACAUAGGGGGAUAAUGAGCAACAGUGAAGUAAGGACCUGCAUAGGUAGCUCAUUCAAAGGAUUUCACAGCUAGUGACUCCCUCAUGGCUUCUUUGAUUCAGCUAAUGGUAAGAUACCAUUGUCCAAGAACAGGCAUUGAUCUGCUGAUCCAAAUCAGCUCAUGUCAGUCUUUGGCAGAGCUGCAGUGGAACAUCUGGUCUGAGGAGAAAACACUGCUGCUUCUAGAGAUACUUGCUUCAAAUAAAAUGUGUACUAUACAAUGCAUAAAAGGAACUGGAGACUGAAAAUCCACCUCCACAGCUCUAAACUCUUUCUGUAACUAUUUCUGAGCAGAAUUUUCUGCUAAGACCUAAGUACAUGAAAAGUACAGACUUCCACCAUUAGAGCUGAAAAGAACCUCCUAUAACUGUCUGCAAGAUAUGGAAGUAAAUAGUUUCAGAUAUGACAACACUCCACCAAACAGGGAGUCAAAAGACAAAACACAGUGCUGUGAUACCAUCAUCAUCCAAUCUCUCUUUUCUAUACCUCAUUACACAGACAACAUUCUGGGGCACAUUUCAUAUUCUUUGUUAGUCAACUUCCUAACAGCCUUCUUUCAUUUCCGUGCCCUCCACAGCACCAAAGAGCAGGAGAAAUGAUAAUCCAUUAGCUCAAGAAAGGCUCAGAUUUAAAGGUGAUAAACGGAUAGAAGAUUCUAAAGGCAGACUAGAUUAGUACCAUGCACAUAUCUUUGGGCCAUCUAGAAGAGGGAUCUGCAAUUAUUCUAAGACAAUUUAAUGAGCUUUUGAAAAUUUUACCUAGCAACUCAUUCCCCAAGCUACAAAACAACAGCCUAAGAAAUCUGAGCGGCAGACAAGUGAAUGGUUAAAAUCCUGCUUGUGAUUUGCUGCAGACAUUCUCCCUAGAAAUGUUUGAGAAUAAUGGUUCUGCGUAGGAAGAAAGAAAAACUGUUGAUAUUUUAGUCACAUCCAUAUAUUCUAG
Long non-coding RNA from Gallus gallus (chicken), 24118 nucleotides. RefSeq lists it as uncharacterized. The record is from RefSeq and is a predicted model, not a curated record. Lineage: Eukaryota; Metazoa; Chordata; Aves; Galliformes; Phasianidae. The transcript is spliced from 3 exons.